RNAcentral lists this long non-coding RNA (2641 nucleotides) under Citrus x clementina. RNAcentral's name for it is "Citrus clementina (C. clementina) long non-coding RNA (CCLE_LNC002675)". Lineage: Eukaryota; Viridiplantae; Streptophyta; Magnoliopsida; Sapindales; Rutaceae. The record is from RNAcentral.
UAAAAAGUCCGAGUCAAGUCCAGACUUUUUUGCUAAGCGCUUAUCCAUACCCAAUCUAUGCAAACUUUACAUUUUUUGGACCCGUAUCCAGACCCAAUCCAUGCAAGUCGGGCGUUCGACUUAGACUUUUUUGCCAACCCUAGUUAAACCUAUAGAGAAACCCAAAUGAGAUUUCUUUCUUAGAAGAAAUUGCUUUGAUGACAUAAAACUUCCUUAUUUCCACAUAUAUGACAACAUAAUUAAUAUUUCUACUAAUAUGACAAUAAUUUAAUGAAAGUUCCAAAUUGCCCUUAUUUCUCUAUCAUUCUUAAAGGGAUUUUAAUUAAAUAUUCCCAUAAACAAGAGUAUUUAUCUAUUUAUAUCCCAUACUUAAAAAUUAUGUACAUAUAAGAUAUCCUAAAAGAAAAUAUACGACCCGAACUUAAUAAAGUUUCCCUCAUUCUCACCAUUUCAAUCCUCACGCAACAAAAAAUCACUCCAAGACACUCUCGAAAUUAUUCAAGAACAACCAUGUAUUGAGAUUUUAAUUUGCAACUAGGUAUAUUAUUCAUCCUGUCAACAAGGUAUUCUAUAUUUUACAUUUAUUUUAUAUUUUAUAUUUUUAGGGUUUUGUUUACUUUGUGAUAAACAAGAACUUACAUUUUCAUUACAUUUGCAUCAUAUUAUUGUAUGCUGGUAUGCAAUUUCUAAUGCUAUGGAUGUCAAUGUGCAAGUGUACACAACAAGUAAUAUAUUAAUGAGUAUUCAGAUCAUCUCCACAAGGAUUGAUUUAUCAGAUUUGCUAAAGCAACCUUAACAAUGCAAUUUUGUUUUAAAUGAAAAUAAAACAACUAAUGAAUCCGAUGAGUUAAUUAAAAAAAUGCAACAAAUAAAAUGAAAUAAGGAAAAUUUUCACGUCAAACACUAGAAUGUAACAUAUGAGAAUGGGGUAGUUGAGUAAAUAAACUCACUUAAUGGCAUUGAUUAUUUUUCAAUUACAGCUCCAUUGCUACAACAUUUACUGCAGCACUGGGUAGAAUCCCUCAUGCAUCCUCAGUUGUCGCCUGCUGGAUAUCUUAUACCUAAUACAAUCUAACAGUGACCAAUUGUUAUGCUAACAUUAAAUAUAACAUUAAACAAUUUAAGUUUCAUUUAUCCUACAAAGUGAAUCUCUAUGUCUAGUUUUUCACUAAUUUUAGAUAAAGUAUGACCCUAUUCAAAUUGAGAUUAACUCAGCUUGAGAGACUCAAUCUAAAACCAAAUAUUGUCUUAUUUAGAUCCACUAAGUCUGACAUUUUUUAGACUCUUCCUCAGCUAGUAUCUACUAAAUGGAUGGUCAACCGAAAUAGAAAAUUGAAAUAAACACAAUUAAGAUAAAAUGCUAUAGCAAACACAAAGCAAUGCAUAUAUGUUAGUCAAACAUCCAUUAAGAUCGUUUAUUACUCAAGGACAAUCAAAUUCAUUUCAUGAUUUGCGAUAAAAUAGUAAAUAAAAUAGUCUCAACAAUCAAAUACAUCCUCAUAAAUAAAUAGAAAAUAAGAUAAAAAGUUGAAUUCUGCUUAAUCUUAUGAUCUUUCCUUCUUGUUCACUAUGAUUCCUCUUAUUACAGCUCUCAAAUCCCUCUUAUUUCUAUUUUUCUUUUGUUUUUCUCUGUGAUUUUCCAUGAGUGAUGUCUCCUUUUUUUUUUUUCAUGCGUGCUCAUUUUAUAACUUAGAAUUAAAGCAACCGAAAGUACGUGGCGCAUAUCCUCUAUCUUUGGAAACUUUAGAUUGCAAUCUUUUAAUUAUUUUGCGUGAAAUCCAGUUUGUCAUUACUCCAAGAUUGCUACAGCAACGGCUACAAUAUCUUCACUGUUUUAGACUUGUUUCAAUUCUUUUAUAGGCAAGUUCUUUUAUUGUCUCUGCAAGUUUGUUGCAGCAGCAUUCCUUCCUUAAAAUUUGGGCUUUUGAUCACGUACAAUUAUGCAUAUAAUCUUAAUUACAAAUUAUUCUAGAACAACUCAAUUUAUUAAAAAUAAACUAAAAUGGAUGUUCAUGCAAAAUAUAACUAAAAUGCAGAAAAAACACAUCAUUUACUCUCUAAGUACUACUGAUUCAAGUUUAAAAGUGUCAUGAUAACUCUCAUUUCAUAUAAUUAUCAUAUGUAAUGGAUUUUUUAACUACAUUUGUUGAAAUCUCAUUUUAUUCUCUAAAUUUCCUAAAAAACAAAAUCUGCAUUGCAGUCGUAUAAGUGGAUAAAAUGUUCUAGCUAUGAUGACACCUUUGUAUCAUAUUAGUGUAGUCAAUGCAUUUUUCACUAAAUAUAUCCUCUAAAAAUGCAAACUAAGACCAACAUAAUUAGUUUAAAGUUUCAUUUAGCACACGUCAUAAGUGCCAAGAAUGUUACUUCUAAGACAUUUAAAAAUAAAAGAGGCCAAACUAUGUCAUUAGAACAAGACAUUAAUUAAUUAAGACAACAAUAAGAGCAUGAGAUGUAAAGAUACAGAUGCUUAGUUGCUUGAAAUACUGAAGUGCACAAAAUUGGCCUGGAACUCUUUUACCUGAAUAGAAAAAAAUGAGUUAUGUCCAUACCAAAGAUGAACAAUCAUGAAUGUUAGAAGCAUAUUAAUGCAAUCCUUAAAUAUAUUGUGUCAAUACCUCAAGCAUGGUUUGCUAAUCCGCCC